RNAcentral lists this ribosomal RNA (1064 nucleotides) under Dicephalospora rufocornea. RNAcentral describes it as "SSU rRNA". It matches the Rfam family "Eukaryotic small subunit ribosomal RNA", at positions 54 to 1130 of the family's 1831-position model. Lineage: Eukaryota; Fungi; Ascomycota; Leotiomycetes; Helotiales; Helotiaceae. The record is from RNAcentral.
CGACUGUCUAGUAUAGCAACUAUACGGUGAAACUGCGAAUGGCUCAUUAAAUCAGUUAUCGUUUAUUUGAUAGUACCUUACUACUUGGAUAACCGUGGUAAUUCUAGAGCUAAUACAUGCUAAAAACCCCGCCUUCGGAAGGGGUGUAUUUAUUAGAUAAAAAACCAAUGCCCUUCGGGGCUCUUUGGUGAUUCAUAAUAACUUAACGAAUCGCAUGGCCUUGUGCCGGCGAUGGUUCAUUCAAAUUUCUGCCCUAUCAACUUUCGAUGGUAGGAUAGUGGCCUACCAUGGUUUCAACGGGUAACGGGGAAUUAGGGUUCUAUUCCGGAGAGGGAGCCUGAGAAACGGCUACCACAUCCAAGGAAGGCAGCAGGCGCGCAAAUUACCCAAUCCCGACACGGGGAGGUAGUGACAAUAAAUACUGAUACAGGGCUCUUUUGGGUCUUGUAAUUGGAAUGAGUACAAUUUAAAUCCCUUAACGAGGAACAAUUGGAGGGCAAGUCUGGUGCCAGCAGCCGCGGUAAUUCCAGCUCCAAUAGCGUAUAUUAAAGUUGUUGCAGUUAAAAAGCUCGUAGUUGAACCUUGGGCCUGGCUGGCCGGUCCGCCUCACCGCGUGCACUGGUCCGGCCGGGCCUUUCCUUCUGGGGAGCCGCAUGCCCUUCACUGGGUGUGUCGGGGAACCAGGACUUUUACUUUGAAAAAAUUAGAGUGUUCAAAGCAGGCCUAUGCUCGAAUACAUUAGCAUGGAAUAAUAGAAUAGGACGUGUGGUUCUAUUUUGUUGGUUUCUAGGACCGCCGUAAUGAUUAAUAGGGAUAGUCGGGGGCAUCAGUAUUCCGUUGUCAGAGGUGAAAUUCUUGGAUUUACGGAAGACUAACUACUGCGAAAGCAUUUGCCAAGGAUGUUUUCAUUAAUCAGUGAACGAAAGUUAGGGGAUCGAAGACGAUCAGAUACCGUCGUAGUCUUAACCAUAAACUAUGCCGACUAGGGAUCGGGCGAUGUUAUCUUUUUGACUCGCUCGGCACCUUACGAGAAAUCAAAGUCUUUGGGUCUGGGGAGUAGUCCC